RNAcentral lists this ribosomal RNA (1269 nucleotides) under Triticum aestivum (bread wheat). RNAcentral's name for it is "partial small subunit ribosomal RNA". Lineage: Eukaryota; Viridiplantae; Streptophyta; Magnoliopsida; Poales; Poaceae. The record is from RNAcentral.
AUGGUUCGCGGAUCGCUCGGGAGGUUGGCGUCGCGCACCCUCUCCGUCGCCGGCAAAUGGCAGCACCAGCAGCUCCGCCGUCUCAACAUCCACGAGUACCAGGGCGCGGAGUUGAUGGGGAAGUUCGGGAUCAACGUGCCCAAGGGCGCCGUGGUGGGGUCAGUGCAGGAGGUCAAGGAAGUUUUGAAGAACGUUUUCCCCAGUGAGAAAGAGAUAGUUGUGAAAAGCCAAAUCCUUGCCGGUGGCCGUGGAUUGGGAACUUUCAAAAGUGGACUGAAGGGUGGUGUUCAUAUUGUUAAGGCUGAGGAGGCUGAAAGCCUUGCAGCAAAAAUGCUUAACCAGGUCCUGGUAACAAAACAAACUGGUCCACAGGGGAAGGUUGUGGGCAAGGUCUACUUAUGCGAGAAAAUGUCACUUGUUAAUGAGAUGUACUUUGCGAUCACCCUUGACAGGAAGACUGCUGGUCCACUCAUUAUAGCUUGCGCCGAGGGAGGAACGAGCAUUGAAGAUCUUGCAGAGAAGUUCCCUGAUAAGAUCGUUAAGGUUCCUGUUGAUGUAUUCAAGGGAAUCACUGAUGAGGAUGCAGCUAAAGUUGUUGAUGGUCUGGCACCAAAGACAGCAGACAGGCAAUCUUCUAUAGAACAGAUUAAGAAGCUAUAUGAACUUUUCUGCAAGACCGACUGCACAAUGCUGGAGAUAAAUCCUCUUGCUGAGACAGCUGAUAAAAAGCUAGUUGCUGCUGAUGCAAAGUUGAACUUCGAUGAUAAUGCUGCGUUUAGGCAGAAAGAAAUAUUUGCACUGCGUGAUACAACACAGGAGGACCCCAGAGAGGUGGCUGCUGCUAAAGCAGAUUUGAACUACAUCGGGCUUGAUGGAGAGAUUGGUUGCAUGGUGAAUGGUGCAGGAUUGGCAAUGGCUACGAUGGACAUCAUUAAGCUGCAUGGUGGUACACCUGCCAAUUUUCUUGAUGUUGGUGGUAGUGCAUCCGAGGGACAGGUUGUGGAAGCAUUUAAGAUAUUGACUUCAGACGAUAGAGUGAAGGCAAUUCUAGUGAACAUUUUUGGAGGUAUCAUGAAAUGUGACGUGAUAGCAAGUGGAAUAGUGAAUGCAGCUAAACAGGUUGAUCUUAAGGUCCCUGUUGUUGUUCGGCUAGAAGGCACCAAUGUAGACCAAGGGAAAAGGAUUCUUAAGGAGAGUGGAAUGACAUUGAUCACUGCAGAGGAUCUUGAUGAUGCUGCAGAGAAGGCUGUAAAAGCAUCAGUCAAAUGA